UGUGCAGAGUUCAUAAUCUAAAGGUGUCAAAUCAANAAAAGCAAAUGAGCUCCUAAAAGCAAAAAUAAAUUAAGGCUUAAGCAAAAAUGAAUAACUGAUUGUGGACGCUGCACCUGCAAAGCUAAAUCACGGCUGCUGUAGCACUGCACCUAAUUCAUUCACUGUUUGAAACUAUUAAAAUAAAAAGAAAGAUGCUCAUGCAAAUAUAAAGGAAAGUAAAAUGACAGCAGCGCGUAAAUUUCAUUCUCCCAUUCAUCCAAAAUCCAUCACCAUCAACAUUGGUUCAAAGAAAAUUGCAAUGUGUAAAAAAAAUAAACGUUCCAGCAGCAGUCCUCCUNNAGAGAAUGACGGNUGGUGGGAAUGUUCCUAGGAUCAUGUGUCCUAAAAUUGGGGUGGGGUCCANCCUAAAAAAAAAUAAAACCCUAGGGUGCCAAGUGUCCUACAAUAUUUGGGCCCUCAUAAUUUUUUAACAAUGGCCCAUUGUGCAAAAGUUUGUCCAAAAGUUUAAANAAUUAAAAUUACAAUACAACUAAAUUUAAAAUGUCUAAACGAAGAGUCUUGAAUUUAUUUUGUCUCCUCCA
This 581-nucleotide long non-coding RNA is filed under the name Vigna radiata. Its description in RNAcentral is "long non-coding RNA (VRAD_LNC002620)". The record is from RNAcentral. Lineage: Eukaryota; Viridiplantae; Streptophyta; Magnoliopsida; Fabales; Fabaceae.